This 550-nucleotide ribosomal RNA is filed under the name uncultured bacterium. RNAcentral's name for it is "bacterial SSU rRNA". It matches the Rfam family "Bacterial small subunit ribosomal RNA", at positions 355 to 896 of the family's 1533-position model. The record is from RNAcentral.
UAGGGAAUCUUCGGCAAUGGACGGAAGUCUAACCGAGCAACGCCGCGUGAGUGAAGAAGGUUUUCGGAUCGUAAAGCUCUGUUGUAAGAGAAGAACGAGUGUGAGAGUGGAAAGUUCACACUGUGACGGUAUCUUACCAGAAAGGGACGGCUAACUACGUGCCAGCAGCCGCGGUAAUACGUAGGUCCCGAGCGUUGUCCGGAUUUAUUGGGCGUAAAGCGAGCGCAGGCGGUUAGAUAAGUCUGAAGUUAAAGGCUGUGGCUUAACCAUAGUAGGCUUUGGAAACUGUUUAACUUGAGUGCAAGAGGGGAGAGUGGAAUUCCAUGUGUAGCGGUGAAAUGCGUAGAUAUAUGGAGGAACACCGGUGGCGAAAGCGGCUCUCUGGCUUGUAACUGACGCUGAGGCUCGAAAGCGUGGGGAGCAAACAGGAUUAGAUACCCUGGUAGUCCACGCUGUAAACGAUGAGUGCUAGGUGUUAGACCCUUUCCGGGGUUUAGUGCCGUAGCUAACGCAUUAAGCACUCCGCCUGGGGAGUACGACCGCAAGGUUG